UCAAAAUGUAAUGACAAAAAUAGUAUUUCUGCCAUAUUUAAAUUCAUCUUCUUUCGCUUCUCCUUUUUAUUACUUCUGUACUUCCCCUUUUCUUCUUUCUUCACACUAUCAUCAUCUUGUUUUUCUAAGAAAGAUGAGUUCUUCACUUGUUUUGAGUUCUUCACUUUGUCUUCCUUUGAUUUCUCCUCAUCGGUCUCCAAUUUGUAGUGGAAUCAAAUUGGGCUGGGCCUAUCCUCGCAUUGCCCUCCGAUGCAACUCGUUUUCUUCAUCUGAGAUAGAGAACAAAGAAAUUGGUUGUCAGACGAAGAAAACGAGCUGCAUCAAAGGGCAAUGCAAGGACAGGCCCAACCCAAUUUGAUUCCACCACAAACUGGAGACCGAUGAGGAGAAAUCAAAGGAAGACAAAGUGAAGAACUCAGAACAAGUGAAGAACUCAUCUUUCUCAGAAAAACAAAAUGGUGAUAGUGUGAAGGAAGAAGAAAAGGGAAAGUACAGAAGUGAUAAAAAGGAGAAGCGAAAGAAGAUGAAUUUAAAUAUGAAAGAAAUACUAUUUUUGUACUUACAUUUUGACAUUAUUUCCGAUUUGAUUCCUAUUUUUUUAUUUUAUUGUUUUUAGUCCCUGAAUAAAAAAGCGUCUUAUUUUGGUCUCA
Molecule: long non-coding RNA, 650 nt
Organism: Quercus robur (English oak)
Lineage: Eukaryota; Viridiplantae; Streptophyta; Magnoliopsida; Fagales; Fagaceae
Exons: 2
Source: RefSeq, a predicted model, not a curated record